UCCGUUAUGGUGGAGUGGCUGACAUUAUCGCCUCUCAUAGAACUGCAACCAACUCAAUUCAUUGGCGAGCGCGAUAGCCCGGGGUUUGAUUCCCUGUAACGGAA
Non-coding RNA from Marasmius sp. AFHP31, 104 nucleotides. The record is from the annotation of a GenBank genome assembly. Lineage: Eukaryota; Fungi; Basidiomycota; Agaricomycetes; Agaricales; Marasmiaceae.